UGGGGAAUAUUGGACAAUGGGCGCAAGCCUGAUCCAGCCAUGCCGCGUGGGUGAAGAAGGCCCUAGGGUUGUAAACCCCUUUCAGCGGGGAAGAUAAUGACGGUACCCGCAGAAGAAGCCCCGGCUAACUCCGUGCCAGCAGCCGCGGUAAUACGGAGGGGGCUAGCGUUGUUCGGAAUUACUGGGCGUAAAGCGCGCGUAGGCGGACCUGCAAGUCGGGGGUGAAAGCCCGAGGCUCAACCUCGGAACUGCCUUCGAUACUGCGGGUCUCGAGUCCGGGAGAGGUGAGUGGAAUUCCUAGUGUAGAGGUGAAAUUCGUAGAUAUUAGGAAGAACACCAGUGGCGAAGGCGGCUCACUGGCCCGGUACUGACGCUGAGGCGCGAAAGCGUGGGGAGCAAACAG
RNAcentral lists this ribosomal RNA (403 nucleotides) under uncultured bacterium. RNAcentral's name for it is "bacterial SSU rRNA". It matches the Rfam family "Bacterial small subunit ribosomal RNA", at positions 355 to 775 of the family's 1533-position model. The record is from RNAcentral.